This is a long non-coding RNA of Pyrus x bretschneideri (Chinese white pear), 4144 nucleotides long. RefSeq lists it as uncharacterized. The transcript has 3 exons. NCBI's taxonomy places the organism in Eukaryota, Viridiplantae, Streptophyta, Magnoliopsida, Rosales, Rosaceae. The record is from RefSeq and is a predicted model, not a curated record.
UAGGGUGCCUGCUUAUCAACCAUUCAAGAUUCAACGCCACCAAAUCUUCCCCCCCACCCGACCAAAACCCAAAAAGCUCUAUGAGCCUCCGACUUCUUCUCCAGAUUUACGCUCCAUGGAUUGUUUUCGCUGCCGAUUUCCAUUGGAUUCGCAUCGAUCGUAUCGAGAUCUACGCGUGGAUGGUGGUUUGAGAUUGUGAGGUGAUGGAUUGAGCUGCUUUUGAAUUCAGCUGGUUUCACCUGCGCGAGCUUCUGUGUUCGCCGAUCUUCGAUUCGGAUUCACAGAUUUCGCAGACGGAGCUCUAACCAAAUCAGAAGUAUUCGACAUCGUUUCAGCUGCUGAUCCGAUUCGAUCUCCUGGUGGCUGAAGAAUAUCUAUCAGAAGAUUCACAUGUAAUCUUGAUCGAGGGUCAUGAUUGUAAUUUCAUGAGUGUAGCCGGAAGAUUGUGGGGAUUUGGGUGGGAGUAUUGGUUGAAUUGGAUGGAUGUAUAAGAUAUCGGGACGAAAGGCUCGGUGUAAGGGCCGAGUCCUGGACCGAUCUUUGUCAUCCGACCUUUGCCAUGACAGGUGCGCUUGCAUGGCGGGUCAAAAACAUCUCAAUAAAAAAUAACGAAAUUUUGGUUUUGAGGGGAGACAGCAUGGGUUUUUUUUGCCCGGGGUCUCCCCUCCGGUGUGGUGUGCGCUCUCUGUCUUUGUCUUUUUGUUCCGUCUUUCAAUUUUGCUAGCCGCCAACCGCAAACAGUCGGACAUGGAUUCCGGACAACUACAAAUGCAUCGAUAUCUCGCCUCCAAAGGUAUUAUCUGACAGCCUAUUUCAAUUGAUUUGCACAGGGAACAUAUAAUCACGUGCACGAUUAAUUAGGUCUCAUGCUCACGUUUUCUUAAAUCGAUGUGGGAUUAAUCUAAUUUUUUGCACACACUAUGAAGCCUUCAAUCGAUAUAACCUAUAUUCUUGGAACUUAGGGAUUGGUAGAAAUGAACAAUAAUAAUUCUUCAGUUUGCUAAUUGUGGAGUUCUUCAAUCAACUCCUUUAUUUUGAAGGUAAAUUAAGUUAUUUAAUCUCCAUUUAUGUUGUAAAUUACAAUUUAUAAUAUUUUUUUUCCGAAACAAUAUAUAAUAUUUGAUCCAGAAAAAAAAAAGCACCUCUAUUAAUUUAAAGGUAAAUUAAGUUAUGUAAUCUCUAUGUAUUGUAGAAUACAAAUUACAACAUUUGAUCCAAACAAAAUAGAACUUUCUAAUUGAAAGAUCCAUCCAUGACCAAUAAUUACUGGGUAAUUUUGCAAUCUACUUAUGCCACACUCCACACAUUCUAUCAUACUACAUAACAAUUUCCGCUUCCAAAAUCUAUCCGGCUUCCUUUUUAAAGGCAUACCUAUGAUACCAUUAUGUACUGAUUAUUGCCUCGUUAUUAAUGUUUAUUGCCUCGUUAUUAUUGUACUUACAAAUUCUAUGAGCUGAGAGUGGGAUUGUACCCUGAAGUGCCUAUUUUGUUAUUGUUUGAUCUCAAUUGCUGUUACUGGAUAUUGUGAGAUCUGUUAAUGCAUGGCUCUUUGUAAUAUUAUGUAAUUAUGUUGCUUUGGCUGCCAUUGUUGCAAGCCAUGCCUUGUAUUCAAAUUAGAUGAUUCUAGGGAGGUUGGCUGCUGGAAGCUCUCUUCUCGAGGAGUCCUAAUAGCCAGAAUGAAGUCUCUCAUAUCAUUUACAAGUUAAUCGAAAUUCUACUCAAAUCAAGCUGCGUGGUCAUGGGGAAGAUGCAAAUUUCGUUACGUUGCGGUCUCUUUUCCCAUAACUUGAGGUGACCAAGGAAACGAGUUGAGCUUCACAAUCUUUGGUCUUUAAAGUUUUAAAUCUCAGCAAGUAAUAGUUUCAGUUAAUUUACCUUUUGUGAUUGAAUCCAUUGCGAGGAUUAUUUCAUGUGCCCAUUAGCAUUAUCAUUUAUUUAUUCUGUUCAAUUGUUAAGUUUAGAUAGAAUAUUCCCCCCUAAUUUUGAUUCUAUUGAAUUGUGGUACAUACAUAAUGGAUCAGAUUGUGGUGUGCGGAUUUGUUAGAUUUACACUUACUGAUUUUGAUUAUGUUUCAAACAGUAUUUCCGCGUAUCCGUUUUAUGUUUCUAUUAUUGUGCUUCUAUGAUGAUUACUUACGUAUGCUGUUUUGGUCAGUUCAUGAUAUCUUUCUUGUUAUGAUCCACGGGGUUUAACCCCAAAGAACAAAAAUUAGCUGGAAGCAUUUGUGUCACUGUAAAUUGUUUGUAAAAAUGAAACAGCGGCGUUUUGAAUUUGGACAAGUUGGAUGCUGUUUAGGGUUGCAUGAGAAAGUGUAGGUUGUUUUGUUCCUGGGCUGUGGAAUAAUUGUGCGACUGUUGCUCUGCUUAGGACAAUAUUUUUUUUAUGCCCGUGGAAAGGAUUUUUUAGAUCUCUAUUUGAGUUGACAAGUAAUUCACUCCAAGUUAAAUACUUUGUAGUUUACAAGUUUGGAGCAGGGUUUAGAGAUCGACUAGUGUCCCGCUCUAGUGGUUUUCAACUCCCGGUCUGGAGACAUUCAACUCAUAUGGAUGGCAAGUAUGUGUAAUAUUUACAGUGCUCUUAUUGUUGGCUAAUUGUGGGGCUUAGCUUAAUUCUCCUUCAUUCGAGUUAAAUUCUAUCCCCAUUCAAAUAGACAUCUCCCUUUUGCUAAACGUGAGUUGACAAGUUAUUGUUUGUGCUGGAAACUUCUUAUUGGAAAGAAGAAACUGAAAAACUAGGUGUUGAUGGUGUUUCUCAUUUUGCCUCGUCAAUUGAAACGAAGAUCUGUAAGCUCAAAAAUGGUAGAGCGCUCAGGGUCCUUGACAGGGCUUUUGAGAGGUUGGUGGUUCGAAUCCAUCCAGAUCUGCUCUGAGUUGACCGUUAGAUGGUUUGGUUACGUCGGGUGAGGGUUUAGGUUUGCCUUCUGUUACCUUUUUUCAGUCUGUUUUCUUGCUUUUGCAUUUUGAUGCAAAAUUAUAUUUACGCUAAAGGUUUGGGAAAAUAAUUGUUCGUUUGGAAGUGUUUUUAAAAUAGUUGAAGGGGUUUUGGUGAAAAUGUUUUUAUUACUAAUUCUUAAUAAAAAUGCAAGUGAAGAGUGCUUCGAUAUUUUUUCUAACCGCUUUACAUCUGUCUUUGUGUUGUUACAACGGUUUAGGCAGCUCAGGUAUCUUUCUUUAUAUGUAAGCAUGUCCGGUUUGGUACUAGAUUAUUUACUUUUUGAAUAUUGCCAGCCUUUUUGUGGCAAAUACAAUAUUCUAGAAGCAUGAUUAAGAAAAUUGGCGCGGGUGAAUCCUAAUUAUAGUACAAGACUAAUACGCACAUGUGCUGGAUUCCCACUCCACCAACUAAAGCGGCAAAUUAAUGUGUCCUGCUUGGUAACCGGUACCACCCUUCCCAUAUCAGCCUUCGAUUUCAAAGACAAAAAUUCAAUCCUAACCGUCCAUAGCAUCCCAUCUCUAGUAUAAAUUACGUUAGGCUGGGUGAAUCUAAAACCUUUCAACGGCUUCAAUGUCUCUCCCUCUCUCUGUCCACAACUCUAUUGGUCCUCCUGAGUCCUGAGUAGUUCUACUCCUGCAAAUCCAGUCUGCAUGGAUUGCUUUCUCUUUCGAUUUCUUUUGAAUUCUGGUAGAUUGAUUAGAGAUCUGUAUAUCGAUGCCGGUUUUAGAUUGUGAAGAUGUUUUGAGCUGCUGUUGAAUUGAAUAGCUAGUUAAAACCAGCUUGAUUUGUUCUUCUUCGAUGUUUGAUUCAGAUUUACAGUGUCUGAUUGCUCUGUGAUUGUUUAUCCAAUCAGAUAUGGCUAAGGAGCUGUUGUUGAAUUCAACGAGGCUUCAGGCGAGCUUGAUUCAAGCGUUGUUUCAGCCUCUGCAGAACUGACUCUCUGGUCGUUAAUGGUAGUUAAUGAUGCUGUAAGUGAUGUACAUUCGUAAAUCGAAGGGCGUGAUUGUAAUUUGAUGAGUGGGAAACUGAAGGCUGGGGGAUUUGGGGGUGGGGAUAGGUUAUGAAUCGGAUGUAUAAGAUUGUCGGGACCAAAGGUUCAGAGAAAGGGCUGAGUCCUGGACCGAUCUUUGUCAUCCGGCCUUUGCCAUGACAGGUGCGCUUGCAUGGCAGGUCAAAAAACAUAUCUCAAUCAAAAGUAACAAUUUUUCA